CCUGCGGGGGCGCGUCAGACACCUGGGAGGGCCAGCACCACCUGGGUGCGGGGAGGAUCGUGGUGGGCGUUAGAGCGCUGCGACCCCUGUGCAAGACCCUGCCAGCGGUUGGGCCAUUCUGAGGCAGCUGCCUUACAGCCUGGUUUGUGACUGGCAGAGCGAAGCCACGCCCAGGGGCGCGACCUUAAUGGCGGCAGCCGAGCAUAACUGGCGCACCGUUUGCUAGCAAGAUAUUUGGAGUGCUGAAACUGGCUUACUAUGCACAGCGUCUUAAAGCCUAUGCUACUAGCUUGGGCUCCUCUGGCCACUAAAACCAGCUGCUGCUUCAGUGGCGCCGCAUGAACAUGCACACGCUGGCGGGAAGCAUGGUGGGGGCCGGCUCUCUCUCCGGAAAUUGCAGCAGAGUGGGGUGGAGAUUGGUUUCCCCUCCCUAAUUUUCUCUCUGGUUGGCGCUCGGAGGAGAACUCUCUCGGCUCUCAGAGCCGGGUGUCCUCUGGGACACGCAGGUGCAGUUCUCACAGCCAGAGGCAGUGGAGGCGGUAGGGUGUGCGCCAGGCGUGGUGGUGAUACAGGGUGCAGCAAGGGGGGCCCCCAAAAAGAUUUGGAAAGGUGUCCAGAAUUCAAAGUGUAUAGAAAUAUUGGAGAGACAUAUUAAGAUGUCCUCACCACCACCACCCCCCCCAGGGGGAAGGGAUGAAUGGAGCCAGGCCAUUGAGAGCUAUUUUGCAUAGCAACAGUUUUAGAGCUAACCUCUGGAAUGGUUAUUUAACAUAUCUAUAACCUUUACCUGGUUUCAUAGAUAUGUUAAAUAGCAGUGGCCAAGUUUGGAGCCAGGGGGAAGGUAGUAGCUGGGACUCAAGAUGGGAUCUAUGAGCUGCUCUCCUGAGUGAGGAGGGCUUGGACUCAGGAUGUAACUAAGGGCUGCGCCCCUGAGUGGAAGGGCCGCUGUGUGGGAGCUUGGAAAAGACUGGCUCCAGGACAUGAAGGGUCCCUGCUUGGGCAGAUGAGAGAGAGCCAUGCGGUUUCAGCAGAGUGAGGACCCCCUGUUGGUGAGGUGAAAGAGGGAGCCACGCGGUUUUGGCAGGGUGUGGACCCCCUCUUUCCCAGGUGAAAGGGAAGAACCACGCAACUUUGCCAGAAUGGAGAUCCCUACAGCCAGGUGAAGAAGACAGCCACAUGCUUUUGGUGGAGUGCGGACUCCUGCAGCUUUGGUAGAAGAGGCCCACGCGGCUUUGGGGUGCCCCCUUUGGCUGCGGGGCCUGAAAAAGCAAGAGAGACUUUGACUGGAACUGGGUACAAAGGACUCUUGCCAGUGGACCAUGAGAGGGUACCACAGUGCUUUGGAUUAACUCGAGAUCCUGCACAGUGACACAGCUGACGGUGCCAGCGGUCUGCAACACAGACGUGUGCUCUUUUCCUGAUUUACGGUGGAGGGUGGCUCCGGAGUCCUGCCACUGGCAGCACCUGCAGGCUGAACUGGAAUUGCGGUGUGGACAUUUGGGGUAAAAUAGAGGGAAGCUGAGGAUUCCCGGGAAGGUGAAUUUUCAUUCUUCUUUGGAAAGUGAACAAGGAAAAGAAUUUUCCUUCAUGCUUUGUCUUCUUCUUCCUACCUGACCCCUCCAGAAUUUGGCAUUCUGAAGGAGUGCUGGCUCCACUGUGGUGUCCAUCACCAGUAUCUUCACCAUCAGUGGUUUGUGCCAUAAAAGGACAUGUGAAUAGACCCUGUAAAGUCAAGUUCCACAUAUUUACUUGUAUAAAACCUUGAUUAGAACCACUGGUGAGGUAGCUCAUUUCUUUUCCAGGUUUACCCAAAACCUCCUUGAGUUUAUUUGUACACUCAUAGAGAAUAUGUAGAGCUGAAAAUGUUCAUAGUUUCAAGCCUAAAAUUUUGAAAGUGCCCAAAAUAGGUGGUCAUUUUAAUGUCUAAAACUUACAUUUUAUGGUUUUUAACCUGAAAUACUGACAUUAAAAUGGAUUUGACUCAAAAUGUGUUUGGAAUAAUAAACGUGGAAUGGCAUUUUUAAAAAGUAGUAACUUUCAUUUAUGAUACUAUGUAUGAAUAAAUUAACUGUGAAUAAUGUUCUUAAAUGCCACUUUAAAACUUGUGACAUCAUAAAUAAUUAAUAAAGGAUUUUCUUGUCCUAGCUGGUGUGGCUCAGCAUAGUGAGCUUUACCCUGUGAACCUGAAGUUCGCUGGCACAUACCUGGGAUGCAUGCUGUGUCCCAUUUUGGGAGCACUUGAGAGGCAACAGAUGAAUGAUUCACUCACACAUUAAUGUUGCUAUCCCUUUUUUUUCUCUCUCAAUUCCCUUCUUUCUAGAAGUAA
Molecule: long non-coding RNA, 2326 nt
Organism: Artibeus jamaicensis (Jamaican fruit-eating bat)
Lineage: Eukaryota; Metazoa; Chordata; Mammalia; Chiroptera; Phyllostomidae
Exons: 4
Source: RefSeq, a predicted model, not a curated record